RNAcentral lists this long non-coding RNA (575 nucleotides) under Brassica napus (rape). RNAcentral's name for it is "long non-coding RNA (BNAP_LNC025524)". Lineage: Eukaryota; Viridiplantae; Streptophyta; Magnoliopsida; Brassicales; Brassicaceae. The record is from RNAcentral.
CUAUUGUUUAAAAAUAUUUUAGAAACUAUUGUUUAAAAACAUUUUAAAUAUAAAACAUUUUAAACUAGCCGUGAUCCGCUAGUGUUUCUUGAACUUGACAUGAUAUCUAACAAGCACACAUAAAAUAUUCAUGUUAUUUUCAAUCUUAAUACCCGUGUAUUGUAAUUUUCUCUUAAAAAUUGUAAGAAACAAGUGUGUACCUCUUGCUGUAGAACUUUAGUUGAUUGUAUUAGUGUUGGUGAAUACAAUAAUUCUCAUAUAUAUAGUGGAAGCAAACUAGACGUGAAAAGAGUCGAGAAAAAAAAAUGUUAAUUUUCUGUAUAGUUCAACUCACGUUAAUAGAGAUUUGCUAUUUUUUUAUUUUCCAUUUUGUUCCUUGCCAAUAUUGAUAGGGAAUAUUUUUCUUCUAUUAUUCCCUAAAUAAAGAGGAACGGAAAGAAAUUGUACAUAUUCCUUAUAUAUCAAAAGUUACUUAUGAAAAGUGAAAAGAAAAAGGAAUGAAUAGGAAUACAGUGUUUCCUCUCGUUCCAUUCCUUCUUAGCCGUCACCAGUCAAAUCCCCCCAUCCCCCCCUCA